Passer domesticus (house sparrow) is the source of this 1420-nucleotide long non-coding RNA. RefSeq lists it as uncharacterized. NCBI's taxonomy places the organism in Eukaryota, Metazoa, Chordata, Aves, Passeriformes, Passeridae. The transcript has 3 exons. The record is from RefSeq and is a predicted model, not a curated record.
UGCAGAGUGAAUUAUGAAAUGCUGAGUCCCCUGAGUCUCUUACUUAGAAGAACAUAUGGCUGUAGUAAAAAUAUGCAACUGUGUAACUUCAUGACAUCAGUGUUUAAAUUAUAUACAAUUAAAACGGGUUAGAUCAACUGUGUUCUCUCCAGUAAUCACCAUAAUUUACUCACAUUUUGUCUAGCAAUGUGUAUUAAACUAAGGCAAUUAAAAAAAACGUUUAGAGGUUAGACACAAAAGCAGUGAUACAGCCUGGAACACUGGAUUAUUGCUCUACUUGCAACCCUUCAAUAUAUUACAUCUAUUUGCUUUAAAAAUAGUGACACCUAAGAAGAGACACUCAGCACUCAGGGGGAAGAGCCCUCAGGGUUCCAACUGAACAUGCAACACUGAGCAAGCUUUCCUUCAAGUAUUCCCCACUGUCCACAAGAAGCCACACUUGGACACCAGCAGGCACUUUUCAAGGGGUAUGCUCUGCAUCCCAAAGGCAUCAGCAUUAGAGUGUGCAUUAUCCCCUUGGAAAACAGUGGAAUAUGAGCAUCUUACAGAGCUCCAGAGAGGUCCACACAGCUAAAUAAAGACCAAGGAGCCCCAGCAGGAAUUCCUUCUACAAGUCUGUUAAAGGUAGAGACUGCAGAGCAGUGACAUGUGGAGAAAAGGCACAAGAUCUGCACCAGCCCCAGAAAAAAUUCCGACACCAAGGUCCUGAUGUGACAAAAAGAGUCCAACAGAUGCUCACGAUUCCCUGUACAGCCCCUCCACUUGCCAUCUUCAGCAGGACUAGGCUCUUCUUCAUCAGAAAAUAACUUCCUAAAAAUAUGAAUUUUCAUGGGAAUCACAUCUUUCCAAAGCCUUACCCAAGUUCUGAUCUGCAAGUGGCUAUGAAGGGGUCAAAUAAAAAUAUUUCACAGUUUGACAUCAUGCAUAAAGCUGCAACCAGACUAUCAAAAAGCAGGCCCAGUGCACCUCACUUCAAGUCCUGACACAGGAUGCCAGUCCACUGUCACCCUACAGGGCAGUGUAGACAAACAAGAACAAACAAGAACAUCCAAACUUUAACUUGGUGAGCAACAGAGCGUGCCAUCCGUGUCUGCUGACAGUCCUCGUGGUAUUAAUACCUGCCCAACACAAGAUCAGACAAAACUGAUCACCUCUAUUCACAUCACUUCCUUUUCAACCCUCAAACAGCUUCUGUUGACAAAGAGAAUUACUAAUUCCAUGGCAUAAAAGCCAGUAUGGUCAUGCCACACUUUUUUUUUGGCCAAAAACCAAAAGGAAGGUCUUACACUGCUGCUUACAGGGACUGUAUAAAAAUGAUGGAAACUCUCUAACAUAUUGCAAAGUGCCAGACAUGCUACCCCAAUUCUAAUAAUCCAGCCCUAACACACACCUACAUACAUCCAAAAUGCCCCCCCCCUUU